GAUGAACGCUGGCGGCGUGCCUAAUACAUGCAAGUCGAGCGAACGGACGAGAAGCUUGCUUCUCUGAUGUUAGCGGCGGACGGGUGAGUAACACGUGGAUAACCUACCUAUAAGACUGGGAUAACUUCGGGAAACCGGAGCUAAUACCGGAUAAUAUUUUGAACCGCAUGGUUCAAAAGUGAAAGACGGUCUUGCUGUCACUUCUAGAUGGAUCCGCGCUGCAUUAGCUGGUUGGUAAGGUAACGGCUUACCAAGGCAACGAUGCAUAGCCGACCUGAGAGGGUGAUCGGCCACACUGGAACUGAGACACGGUCCAGACUCCUACGGGAGGCAGCAGUAGGGAAGCUUGCGCAAUGGGCGAAAGCCUGACGGAGCAACGCCGCGUGAGUGAUGAAGGUCUUCGGAUCGUAAAACUCUGUUAUUAGUGAAGAACAUAUGUGUAAGUAACUGUGCACAUCUUGACGGUACCUAAUCAGAAAGCCACGGCUAACUACGUG
This 497-nucleotide ribosomal RNA is filed under the name uncultured bacterium. RNAcentral's name for it is "partial 16S ribosomal RNA". It matches the Rfam family "Bacterial small subunit ribosomal RNA", at positions 28 to 507 of the family's 1533-position model. The record is from RNAcentral.